This 542-nucleotide ribosomal RNA is filed under the name uncultured bacterium. RNAcentral's name for it is "bacterial SSU rRNA". It matches the Rfam family "Bacterial small subunit ribosomal RNA", at positions 356 to 896 of the family's 1533-position model. The record is from RNAcentral.
GAGGAAUAUUGGUCAAUGGGCGCAAGCCUGAACCAGCCAAGUAGCGUGCAGGAAGACGGCCCUAUGGGUUGUAAACUGCUUUUAUACGAGAAUAAUUUGAUGCACGUGUGCGUUAUUGCAUGUAUCGUAUGAAUAAGGACCGGCUAAUUCCGUGCCAGCAGCCGCGGUAAUACGGAAGGUCCAGGCGUUAUCCGGAUUUAUUGGGUUUAAAGGGAGCGUAGGCCGUGGAUUAAGCGUGUUGUGAAAUGUAGACGCUCAACGUCUGAAUUGCAGCGCGAACUGGUUCACUUGAGUAUGCACAACGUAGGCGGAAUUCGUCGUGUAGCGGUGAAAUGCUUAGAUAUGACGAAGAACUCCGAUUGCGAAGGCAGCUUACGGGAGCACAACUGACGCUGAAGCUCGAAGGUGCGGGUAUCAAACAGGAUUAGAUACCCUGGUAGUCCGCACAGUAAACGAUGGAUGCCCGUUGUUAGUUCACUUAUGAAUUAGCGACCAAGCGAAAGCAUUAAGCAUCCCACCUGGGGAGUACGCCGGCAACGGUG